RNAcentral lists this ribosomal RNA (253 nucleotides) under uncultured bacterium. Its description in RNAcentral is "partial 16S ribosomal RNA". It matches the Rfam family "Bacterial small subunit ribosomal RNA", at positions 524 to 776 of the family's 1533-position model. The record is from RNAcentral.
UACGUAGGGAGCAAGCGUUGUCCGGAAUCAUUGGGCGUAAAGCGCGCGUAGGCGGCCCUGUAAGUCCGCUGUGAAAGUCAAAGGCUCAACCUUUGAAAGCCGGUGGAUACUGCAGGGCUAGAGUCCGGAAGAGGCGAGUGGAAUUCCUGGUGUAGCGGUGGAAUGCGCAGAUAUCAGGAAGAACACCUAUGGCGAAGGCAGCACUCUGGGACGGUACUGACGCUGAGACGCGAAAGCGUGGGGAGCGAACAGG